RNAcentral lists this ribosomal RNA (497 nucleotides) under uncultured bacterium. RNAcentral's name for it is "partial 16S ribosomal RNA". It matches the Rfam family "Bacterial small subunit ribosomal RNA", at positions 28 to 507 of the family's 1533-position model. The record is from RNAcentral.
GAUGAACGCUGGCGGCGUGCCUAAUACAUGCAAGUCGAGCGAACAGAUGAGGAGCUUGCUCCUCUGACGUUAGCGGCGGACGGGUGAGUAACACGUCGAUAACCUACCUAUAAGACUGGGAUAACUUCGGGAAACCGGAGCUAAUACCGGAUAAUAUAUUGAACCGCAUGGUUCAAUAGUGAAAGACGGUUUUGCUGUCACUUAUAGAUGGAUCCGCGCCGCAUUAGCUAGUUGGUAAGGUAACGGCUUACCAAGGCAACGAUGCGUAGCCGACCUGAGAGGGUGAUCGGCCACACUGGAACUGAGACACGGUCCAGACUCCUACGGGAGGCAGCAGUAGGGAAUCUUCCGCAAUGGGCGAAAGCCUGACGGAGCAACGCCGCGUGAGUGAUGAAGGUCUUCGGAUCGUAAAACUCUGUUAUUAGGGAAGAACAAAUGUGUAAGUAACUAUGCACGUCUUGACGGUACCUAAUCAGAAAGCCACGGCUAACUACGUG